GACAUCCAGCGAACGUUUCCAGAGAUGGAUUGGUGCCUUCGGGAACGCUGAGACAGGUGCUGCAUGGCUGUCGUCAGCUCGUGUUGUGAAAUGUUGGGUUAAGUCCCGNAACGAGCGCAACCCUUAUCCUUUGUUGCCAGCGAUUCGGUCGGGAACUCAAAGGAGACUGCCGGUGAUAAACCGGAGGAAGGUGGGGAUGACGUCAAGUCAUCAUGGCCCUUACGAGUAGGGCUACACACGUGCUACAAUGGCGCAUACAAAGAGAAGCGACCUCGCGAGAGCAAGCGGACCUCAUAAAGUGCGUCGUAGUCCGGAUCGGAGUCUGCAACUCGACUCCGUGAAGUCGGAAUCGCUAGUAAUCGUGGAUCAGAAUGCCACGGUGAAUACGUUCCCGGGCCUUGUACACACCGCCCGUCACACCAUGGGAGUGGGUUGCAAAAGAAGUAGGUAGCUUAACCUUCGGGAGGGCGCUUACCACUUUGUGAUUCAUGACUGGGGUGAAGUCGUAACAAGGUAAGCGUAGCGAG
This 527-nucleotide ribosomal RNA is filed under the name uncultured bacterium. RNAcentral's name for it is "bacterial SSU rRNA". It matches the Rfam family "Bacterial small subunit ribosomal RNA", at positions 983 to 1509 of the family's 1533-position model. The record is from RNAcentral.